GUCGCGGCCUAUCAGCUUGUUGGUGAGGUAACGGCUCACCAAGGCGACGACGGGUAGCCGGCCUGAGAGGGCGACCGGCCACACUGGGACUGAGACACGGCCCAGACUCCUACGGGAGGCAGCAGUGGGGAAUAUUGCACAAUGGGCGAAAGCCUGAUGCAGCGACGCCGCGUGAGGGAUGACGGCCUUCGGGUUGUAAACCUCUUUCAGCAGGGAAGAAGCGAAAGUGACGGUACCUGCAGAAGAAGCGCCGGCUAACUACGUGCCAGCAGCCGCGGUAAUACGUAGGGCGCAAGCGUUGUCCGGAAUUAUUGGGCGUAAAGAGCUCGUAGGCGGCUUGUCACGUCGGGUGUGAAAGCCCGGGGCUUAACCCCGGGUCUGCAUCCGAUACGGGCAGGCUAGAGUGUGGUAGGGGAGAUCGGAAUUCCUGGUGUAGCGGUGAAAUGCGCAGAUAUCAGGAGGAACACCGGUGGCGAAGGCGGAUCUCUGGGCCAUUACUGACGCUGAGGAGCGAAAGCGUGGGGAGCGAACAGGAUUAGAUACCCUGGUAGUCCACGCCGUAAACGUUGGGAACUAGGUGUUGGCGACAUCCACGUCGUCGUGCCGCAGCAGCAGAAGCAUU
This 622-nucleotide ribosomal RNA is filed under the name Streptomyces sp. Y50(2010). Its description in RNAcentral is "bacterial SSU rRNA". It matches the Rfam family "Bacterial small subunit ribosomal RNA", at positions 230 to 861 of the family's 1533-position model. The record is from RNAcentral. Lineage: Bacteria; Bacillati; Actinomycetota; Actinomycetes; Kitasatosporales; Streptomycetaceae.